AACGCGAAGAACCUUACCUACCCUUGACAUCCCACGAAUCCUGCAGAGAUGCGGGAGUGCCGAAAGGAACGUGGAGACAGGUGCUGCAUGGCUGUCGUCAGCUCGUGUUGUGAGAUGUUGGGUUAAGUCCCGUAACGAGCGCAACCCUUAUGCUUAGUUGCCAACACGUAAAGGUGGGGACUCUAAGGAGACUGCUGGUGAAGAACCGGAGGAAGGCGGGGACGACGUCAAGUCAUCAUGGCCUUUAUGGGUAGGGCUACACACGUGCUACAAUGGGGCAGACAGAGGGAAGCGAAGCGGCGACGCGGAGCCAAUCUCAAAAAAGGUCUCGUAGUCCGGAUUGGAGUCUGCAACUCGACUCCAUGAAGUUGGAAUCGCUAGUAAUCGCGAAUCAGCAUGUCGCGGUGAAUACGUUCCCGGGCCUUGUACACACCGAGUAUA
This 441-nucleotide ribosomal RNA is filed under the name uncultured bacterium. RNAcentral describes it as "bacterial SSU rRNA". It matches the Rfam family "Bacterial small subunit ribosomal RNA", at positions 958 to 1398 of the family's 1533-position model. The record is from RNAcentral.